RNAcentral lists this transfer RNA (77 nucleotides) under Pseudomonadota bacterium. Its description in RNAcentral is "tRNA-Met". It matches the Rfam family "tRNA". From Rfam's summary of the family: Transfer RNA (tRNA) molecules are approximately 80 nucleotides in length. Their secondary structure includes four short double-helical elements and three loops (D, anti-codon, and T loops). Further hydrogen bonds mediate the characteristic L-shaped molecular structure. tRNAs have two regions of fundamental functional importance: the anti-codon, which is responsible for specific mRNA codon recognition, and the 3' end, to which the tRNAs corresponding amino acid is attached (by aminoacyl-tRNA synthetases). tRNAs cope with the degeneracy of the genetic code in two manners: having more than one tRNA (with a specific anti-codon) for a particular amino acid; and 'wobble' base-pairing, i.e. permitting non-standard base-pairing at the 3rd anti-codon position. Lineage: Bacteria; Pseudomonadati; Pseudomonadota. RNAcentral also lists the same sequence under 1 other name. The record is from RNAcentral.
UGCGGGGUGGAGCAGUCUGGAAGCUCGUCGGGCUCAUAACCCGAAGGUCGCUGGUUCGAAUCCAGCCCCCGCUACCA